This is a small nuclear RNA of Ictidomys tridecemlineatus (thirteen-lined ground squirrel), 127 nucleotides long. Its record names the gene U2. It matches the Rfam family "U2 spliceosomal RNA". Rfam says of the family: U2 is a small nuclear RNA (snRNA) component of the spliceosome (involved in pre-mRNA splicing). Complementary binding between U2 snRNA (in an area lying towards the 5' end but 3' to hairpin I) and the branchpoint sequence (BPS) of the intron results the bulging out of an unpaired adenosine, on the BPS, which initiates a nucleophilic attack at the intronic 5' splice site, thus starting the first of two transesterification reactions that mediate splicing. NCBI's taxonomy places the organism in Eukaryota, Metazoa, Chordata, Mammalia, Rodentia, Sciuridae. The record is from Ensembl.
AUCGUUUCUCGGCCUUUUGACCAAGAUCCAGUGUAGUAUCUGUCCUUAUCCAUUUAAUAUCUGCUACAGCCUCUAUCCAAGUGCUCCAGGGAGUUACAUUCCAGACAGAAACAUGUCUGUAGGUUUU